RNAcentral lists this long non-coding RNA (399 nucleotides) under Fukomys damarensis (Damara mole-rat). RNAcentral's name for it is "lncRNA (ENSFDAG00000028385.1)". The record is from RNAcentral. Lineage: Eukaryota; Metazoa; Chordata; Mammalia; Rodentia; Bathyergidae.
CAGGCCGGACUCCAGCCCUGUGGUCUAGGUGAGGGUGCUCCAGGCCUCGGUGUGUGCCCAGUCCCUGUCCUUAGGACUCCCCCAGCCACGUGCCUCGAGGUGGCUUCUCGCACAGCUGAGCCUUGGGAAGGAAAGGGCAGGAGCGAUGUCGGCCACCAGCCUCUUUCCGCCCUUCGCUCAGGUCAGGCCGCUCCCAGUGGACGCCCGGGGUUCAAGAGCCCCGCAGGAGGAGGAGGAUGUGCCUGCUGCAUCCCAAAGUCAGGCGACCAGGCGCUGGGAAGCCUCACCCGGGAAGAAGCGGAAGGUACAUGUUCAGGCUGCCAGAACGCGCAGCUCCGCCUCCACUGCCCCUCUGUGGGGCUGGCAGUGUUGCAGUAAGACUUCAUUGACGAACAGCAC